GAUGAACGCUGACAGAAUGCUUAACACAUGCAAGUCUUUGGCGAAGCUGUGCUUUCACAGCCUAGCUAAGGCGGACGGGUGAGUAACGCGUAAUGAACUUGCCCUGCAGUCAGGGAUAACAGACUGAAACGACUGAUAAUACCUGGUGAAGUCAGGCGGACUCAUUUCCAGCCUGAUGAAAAGAGGUGCUGCAUGGUGGCCUCGCGUCCUAUUAGCUUGUUGGUGGGGUAGCGGCCUACCAAGGCGGUAAUAGGUAGCCGGCCUGAGAGGGUGGCCGGCCACAUUGGGACUGAGAUACGGCCCAGACUCCUACGGGAGGCAGCAGUGUGGAAUAUUGCACAAUGGGCGGAAACCUGAUGCAGCAACGCCGCGUGCGGGAUGACGGCCUUCGGGUUGUAAACCGCGUUCGCCUGUGACGAAGCGUGAAUGACGGUAAUGGGUAAAGAAGCACCGGCUAACUACGUG
Molecule: ribosomal RNA, 465 nt
Filed under: uncultured bacterium
Lineage: Bacteria
Description: partial 16S ribosomal RNA
Rfam family: Bacterial small subunit ribosomal RNA
Source: RNAcentral